GUGGUGGUCUUCGAUUUAUUGGAGCUUGGAAGGGAGGGUUUGGAUUUAGUGGAAGUAUUGGGCAUCCAAGUCCCUCUUGCGAAACUUGAGGAUUUUGUGAAUUGGUUGUUCUAUGGGAUUCUCGGGUUAGGGGGUAUGGGUGGUUUGGCUUGCGGCAUUUAGUGGAGCUAGGGAAGGAUUUGGUAAUUGAGGCCAUGUUUCGGGAGUAACAGUAGCAGAGGAAUUUCUAUCAUGU
This 235-nucleotide long non-coding RNA is filed under the name Capsicum annuum. Its description in RNAcentral is "long non-coding RNA (CANN_LNC001052)". Lineage: Eukaryota; Viridiplantae; Streptophyta; Magnoliopsida; Solanales; Solanaceae. The record is from RNAcentral.